UACAGAGGGGGCAAGCGUUGUUCGGAAUUACUGGGCGUAAAUGGCGCGUAGGCGGCCUGCUAAGUCGAACGUGAAAUCCCCGAGCUCAACUCGGGAACUGCGUCCGAUACUGGCAGGCUUGAAUCCGGGAGAGGGAUGCGGAAUUCCAGGUGUAGCGGUGAAAUGCGUAGAUAUCUGGAGGAACACCGGUGGCGAAGGCGGCAUCCUGGACCGGCAUUGACGCUGAGGCGCGAAAGCCAGGGGAGCAAACGGG
RNAcentral lists this ribosomal RNA (253 nucleotides) under uncultured bacterium. RNAcentral's name for it is "partial 16S ribosomal RNA". It matches the Rfam family "Bacterial small subunit ribosomal RNA", at positions 524 to 776 of the family's 1533-position model. The record is from RNAcentral.